CACGUAGGCACCAAGCGUUGUCCGGAUUUAUUGGGCGUAAAGAGCUCGUAGGCGGUUCAGUAAGUCAGGUGUGAAAUCUUUGGGCUUAACCCAAAGCGUGCACUUGAUACUGCUGUGACUUGAGUUCGGUAGGGGAGUGGGGAAUUCCUAGUGUAGCGGUGAAAUGCGCAGAUAUCAGGAGGAACACCGGUGGCGAAGGCGGGUCUCUGGGCCGAUACUGACGCUGAGGAGCGAAAGCGUGGGGAGCGAACAGG
RNAcentral lists this ribosomal RNA (254 nucleotides) under uncultured bacterium. RNAcentral describes it as "partial 16S ribosomal RNA". It matches the Rfam family "Bacterial small subunit ribosomal RNA", at positions 524 to 776 of the family's 1533-position model. The record is from RNAcentral.